This 468-nucleotide ribosomal RNA is filed under the name uncultured bacterium. Its description in RNAcentral is "partial 16S ribosomal RNA". It matches the Rfam family "Bacterial small subunit ribosomal RNA", at positions 28 to 507 of the family's 1533-position model. The record is from RNAcentral.
GACGAACGCUGGCGGCGUGCUUAACACAUGCAAGUCGAACGGAGAGGCCCUGCUUUUGUGGGGUGCUCGAGUGGCGAACGGGUGCGUAACACGUGAGUAACCUGCCCUUGACUUUGGGAUAACUUCAGGAAACUGGGGCUAAUACCGGAUAGGAGCUCCUGCUGCGUGGUGGGGGUUGGAAAGUUUCGGCGGUUGGGGAUGGACUCGCGGCUUAUCGGCUUGUUGGUGGGGUAGUGGCUUACCAAGGCUUUGACGGGUAGCCGGCCUGAGAGGGUGACCGGCCACAUUGGGAGUGAGAUACGGCCCAGACUCCUACGGGAGGCAGCAGGGGGGAAUCUUGCACAAUGGGCGGGAGCCUGAUGCAGCAACGCCGGGUGCGGGAUGACGGCCUUCGGGUUUUAAACCGCUUUCGCCUGUGACGAAGCGUGAGUGACGGUAAUGAGUAAAGAAGCACCGGCUAACUACGUG